GCCAGCCCGCUCAGAAACUUAAAGGAAUUGACGGGGGCCCGCACAAGCGGCGGAGCAUGUGGAUUAAUUCGAUGCAACGCGAAGAACCUUACCUGGGUUUGACAUACACCGGAAAACCGUAGAGAUACGGUCCCCCUUGUGGUCGGUGUACAGGUGGUGCAUGGCUGUCGUCAGCUCGUGUCGUGAGAUGUUGGGUUAAGUCCCGCAACGAGCGCAACCCUUGUCUUAUGUUGCCAGCACGUGAUGGUGGGGACUCGUAAGAGACUGCCGGGGUCAACUCGGAGGAAGGUGGGGACGACGUCAAGUCAUCAUGCCCCUUAUGUCCAGGGCUUCACACAUGCUACAAUGGCCAGUACAGAGGGCUGCGAGACCGUGAGGUGGAGCGAAUCCCUUAAAGCUGGUCUCAGCUCGGAUCGGGGUCUGCAACUCGACCCCGUGAAGUCGGAGUCGCUAGUAAUCGCAGAUUAGCAACGCUGCGGUGAAUACGUUCCCGGGCCUU
This 499-nucleotide ribosomal RNA is filed under the name uncultured Rhodococcus sp. RNAcentral's name for it is "bacterial SSU rRNA". It matches the Rfam family "Bacterial small subunit ribosomal RNA", at positions 903 to 1382 of the family's 1533-position model. The record is from RNAcentral. Lineage: Bacteria; Bacillati; Actinomycetota; Actinomycetes; Mycobacteriales; Nocardiaceae.